Molecule: long non-coding RNA, 541 nt
Organism: Erinaceus europaeus (western European hedgehog)
Lineage: Eukaryota; Metazoa; Chordata; Mammalia; Eulipotyphla; Erinaceidae
Exons: 2
Source: RefSeq, a predicted model, not a curated record
GCCACCGAUGAAAUGAUUACCCUUGCCCUCGUUUCUGGGGGAGAAGAGAAGAGGUGGGGACAUGACAAGCAUCGCUCUGGCAGCAGGCAGGGUACCGUCUGCACUCCAUGCCGGGGCUGGCUUGAGGAAGACGUGCAGACCAGGAAAAGGCCACCAAGUUGCAGACGCUACUAUGAUUCCAUCCUGACUUCCUCGGGCAGACGACCUCACCAAUGUGUCCCGAUGUUUCACCUCUCCAGAGCCUUACCCAACUAGUGAAAGACAGAAACAGGCUGGGGGUAUGGAUCCACCUGUCAGCACCCAUAUCCAAUGGAGAAGCAAUUACAGAAGCCAGAACUCCCACCUUCUGAUCCCCAUAAAGAUCUUAGGUCCAGACUCCCAGAGGGAUAAAGAAUAGGGAAGCUUCCAAUGGAGGGGAUGGGACACAGAAGCCUGCUGGUGAGAACUGUGUGGAAUUGUACCCCUGUUAUCUUACAAUCUUGUCAUCAUUAUUAGAUCACUAAUAAAAAUUUAAAACUACAAUAAACAAAAAUCAAACUUA